This 1285-nucleotide long non-coding RNA is filed under the name Oncorhynchus kisutch (coho salmon). RNAcentral's name for it is "lncRNA (ENSOKIG00005035263.1)". The record is from RNAcentral. Lineage: Eukaryota; Metazoa; Chordata; Actinopteri; Salmoniformes; Salmonidae.
GUUAGAGUGGAGGGGCGGCAGGGUAGACUUGUGGUUAGAGUGGAGGGGCGGCAGGGUAGCCUAGUGGUUAGAGUGGAGGGGUGGCAGGGUAGCCUAGUGGUUAGAGUGGAGGGGUGGCAGGGUAGCCUAGUGGUUAGAGUGGAGGGGUGGCAGGGUAGCCUAGUGGUUAGAGUGGAGGGGCGGCAGGGUAGCCUAGUGGUUAGAGCGUUGAACUAGUAACGGAAAGGUUGCAAGUUCGAAUCCCCGAGCUGACAAGGUACAAAUCUGUCGUUCUGCCCCUGAACAGGCAGUUAACUCACUGUUCCUAGGCCGUCAUUGAAAAUAAGAAUUUGUUCUUAACUGUCUGGUUAAAUAAAGGUAAAGAAAAUUCCUGCUGCUAUACCAAAAAAUGUAAGCACCCAUGACAAAGUCUCCCUCCCUCUUUGCCUCCCUCCCUCUUUCCCUCCCUCCCUCCCUCUUUCCCUCCCUCCCUCCCUCUUUCCCUCCCUCCCUCUUUCCCUCCCUCUCUCCUCCAGGUCCCUGAGAUCAUCAGUACGCUGCGUCAGGCCGGGAAGAGCUCGGCGCGCAACGAUGACCUCGCAGUGCCCAAACCCGCCGCCUCUUCCUCAGAAGACUGUACUCCGUCCGCGUCGUCGGCCUUCGGCGCGGCCACCAUGUUCGCCAAGAGGUUUGAGGUUCUGUUCUGUGGAAGAGUGACCGUCGCUCACAAGAAAGCCCCGCCCGCUUUGAUUGACGAGUGCAUCGAGAAAUUCAGCCAAUCCGUAGGGGCCGGGGGGCGAUCCUAAACCAGAUAGCGGCGGUGGAUUGGUGGACGGGUUGCGGAGAGGUCUGGCCUUACCAACGCUAACGCGAAAUGGAGGAACGGGGGAUGGAGAGGUCAGGGGAGGAGGAUACGGUGCCUCUAGUGGUGGGAGGCCGGUGGUGUUCAAACCAGACCCCAGUUUCCCCUGCCUCCGGGCCCUGGAUGAGAACGGACUGUCACCUGAACUACACACACACACCGCUGGGGUCCAGCCCACCAGUCUACAGGAGAACAGGACCAUGCUGUUCAUGGUAACUUACACACACACACACACACACACCGCUGGGGUCCAGCCCACCAGUCUACAGGAGAACAGGACCAUGCUGUUCAUGAUAACUAACACACACACACACACACGUACACACCCACACACACACCGCUGGGGUCCAGCCCACCAGUCUACAGGAGAACAGGACCAUGCUGUUCAUGGUGGGUCGGUCUCAGAUCUUCCUGGUCAGUCCAGACACUAAGAAGGUUGUUUAU